ACGGUUGACCUCGGAUCAGGUAGGAAUACCCGCUGAACUUAAGCAUAUCAAUAAGCCGGAGGA
This 63-nucleotide ribosomal RNA is filed under the name Verticillium dahliae. RNAcentral's name for it is "partial 28S ribosomal RNA". Lineage: Eukaryota; Fungi; Ascomycota; Sordariomycetes; Glomerellales; Plectosphaerellaceae. The record is from RNAcentral.